Gavialis gangeticus (Gharial) is the source of this 920-nucleotide long non-coding RNA. RefSeq lists it as uncharacterized. The transcript is spliced from 3 exons. NCBI's taxonomy places the organism in Eukaryota, Metazoa, Chordata, Crocodylia, Gavialidae. The record is from RefSeq and is a predicted model, not a curated record.
CCAUCUCAGACUUCCUUUUCAUCUCUUCUCUUGUGUCUGGCUCUCCAUUCACCUGGUCAUGCUAACAGCCCUUCUUGGCACUGGCUCUAGCGUGAACCUUGGUGACCAGAACUGCACGCCAUAUACUGGUACAAUGGUACUAAUACUUCCUUCUCCCUACAGGAAUUAUCGCAUCUGACAAAUCCUAGUCUUGCAUCUGCCAUUUUUAUGGCCUUGUAAAUACAAACAGGGACAGCCUCAAGCAGAUGAAUGAAACCAGUAACUGGAGAUCUCCAAGAUGUUUUGUCCACAGUCAGACUGGGGGGAUGUGGCCAGUCACUGGUAAGAAGCUGCUUCUUCUCCUUCAUUUGCUCGUCCCCUCCGAAGCAGUGGGCCACACAUACGGGGAGCUGGGUCUCGGAGUACUGUAGGUGAAUGGUGACUGGAGGAUCUCUCUGCCAAAAACAGUAUCCAAGCUAGAGGACUCCAUGAGAGCUUUGUACAGAUGUGGGCCAAGCGCCAGGACUGAAGUAUCAGGCUCUCCUGUACAGACUCUGCCCACCACAGCUGUGCCAGAUUGAGCACUCCCUGCAGCUCUGCUUGCCAGGAGCUAUCACCAGUAACAGAUAUAUUCAGAGUGAACACAAAAAGACUUUCCAAAACACAGUAUUUUGGGGUUUUCACUGCAGACAGUUGGUGCAAGAACAAGGAUUCAUAGGCAGUAAAACACCCUGUCUAUACAAGCCUACGUCCUUCUCAUGUCAAGUCCCUUGAGGUUACUCUGGAGGGCUUGACUUCCUUCAAAGAGUCUCUUUCUGUACCAACCUCUUUCCCUGACCAGCCACUGGCAAAUGACCCAUUUCCCUUCCACUGUUUUCUCACAAGACAGGCUUCCUGUCUCUGUAACAUCCUUAUGAUCUUAGGUUCCCAGACCAGGCAGA